UACAUGGGGUGCAAACGUUGCUCGGAAUUAUUGGGCGUAAAGCGCACGUAGGCGGUCCGUUAAGUCGGAUGUGAAAGCCCCCGGCUCAACCGGGGAAGUGCAUCCGAAACUGGCGGGCUAGAGUACGAAAGAGGGUCGCGGAAUUCCCGGUGUAGAGGUGAAAUUCGUAGAUAUCGGGAGGAACACCGGUGGCGAAGGCGGCGACCUGGGUCGAUACUGACGCUGAGACUCGAAAGCGUGGGGAGCAAACAGG
RNAcentral lists this ribosomal RNA (253 nucleotides) under uncultured bacterium. RNAcentral describes it as "partial 16S ribosomal RNA". It matches the Rfam family "Bacterial small subunit ribosomal RNA", at positions 524 to 776 of the family's 1533-position model. The record is from RNAcentral.